Molecule: ribosomal RNA, 406 nt
Filed under: uncultured bacterium
Lineage: Bacteria
Description: partial 16S ribosomal RNA
Rfam family: Bacterial small subunit ribosomal RNA
Source: RNAcentral
GAUGAACGCUAGCUACAGGCUUAACACAUGCAAGUCGAAGGACCGGCGCACGGGUGUGUAACACGUAUCCAACCUGCCUUUUACUCGGGGAUAGCCUUUCGAAAGAAAGAUUAAUACCCGAUGUAAAGGAUGGGGAUGCGUUCCAUUAGGUUGUUGGUGAGGUAACGGCUCACCACGCCUUCGAUGGAUCGGGGUUCUGAGAGGAAGGUCCCCAACAUUGGAAAUGAGACACGGUCCAAAAUCCUAGGGGAGGCAGGAGUGAGGAAUAUUGGUCAAUGGGCGUGAGCCUGAACCAGCCAAGUAGCGUGAAGGAUGAUGGCGUAUGUGUGGUAAACUUCUUUUAUAUAAGAAUAUGUAUUAUAUGAAUAAGGAUCGGCUAACUCCGUGCCAGCAGCCGCGGUAAUUC